GUGCUCCUUUCAGUAGCACUAAAAUUUGAAUGACACAGAGAAAAUUAGCACAGCCCCUGCACAAUGAUGGCAUAAAAAUUUGUUAAGUGUUCCCUGUUUUU
This 101-nucleotide small nuclear RNA is filed under the name Heterocephalus glaber (naked mole-rat). Lineage: Eukaryota; Metazoa; Chordata; Mammalia; Rodentia; Bathyergidae. The record is from RNAcentral.